UAAAAAUGUGGCGCCUGGGUGGCGCAGUCGGUUAAGCGUCCGACUUCAGCCAGGUCACGAUCUUGCGGUCUGUGAGUUCGAGCCCCGCGUCGGGCUCUGUGCUGACAACUCAGAGCCUGGAGCCUGUUUCCGAUUCUGUGUCUCCCUCUCUCUCUGCCCCUCCCCCGCUCAUGCUCUGUCUCUCUCUAAUAAAUAAACAUUAAAAAAAAUAAUAAUAAAAGUUUCAGAAACAGGCUGAUCUAUUUUUAGAAACACUGAUUCAGAGAAGUGAAGCAAUGAGAUUAUUGUGGCUUGUAGAAAUCAUAUUUGAUAUGAUAAUAAUCAUGGAUCACAGUUAAGAUCAAAUACAAUGUAUGACAGACUAUCUCUAGCUUAAACAUGCAGCUUUAAUUUACCUGAGUUUAUAGAAAUGAUCACUGUGUACAGGUCUAUAGAGGUAUGUUCUACUUAAAAUCUAAUGCAAAAAUUGUGUUAUUUUGAACAAAAAAACCCUAAUUUUGAUACAUUUAUAAGACUGAGUUGAUAUUUUUCUCUAAAAUUUUAGGAAGAUGUAAAGCAAGUGAUCUUUAACAGAAUUCUGACCACUUUUCCAAACACAAACAAAAAUAAAUAAAUAAAAAGUGAACAGCCUGAUUAUAAAUCUAUGUUUAAAAUGAGUUUUUAAAGGGGCGCCUGGGUGGCUCAGUCGGUUGAGCGUCCGACUUCGGCUCAGGUCAUGAUCUCACAGUCUGUGGGUUCGAGCCCCGCGUCAGGCUCUGUGCUGACAGCUCAGAGCCUGGAGCCUGUUUCCAAUCCUGUGUCUCCCUCUCUCUCUGCCCCUCCCCCAGUCUCACUUUGUCUUACUCUGUCUUUCAAAAAUAAAUAAAUAUAAAACAAAUUUUAAAUGAGUUUUUAAAGAUGGAACAUUCUAAAUGAGCUCAAUAUCAAAAGAAAAAAAAACUUGUUUGGACUAUAUACAUAGAAAAUAUAUAGUUUUUUUAAAAGUUUAUAUAUUUAUUUUUGAGAGAGAGGGAGAGAGAGUGUGUGAGAGCAAGUGAGGGAGGGGCAAAGAGACGGGGAGAGAGAGAAUCCCAAGCAGGCUCUGCUCUGUCAGCACAAAGCCUAAUGUGGGGCUCGAACUCACGAAACCGUGAGAUCAUGACCUGAGCUGAAACCAAGAGUCGGACACUUAACUGACUGAGCCACCCAGACAUCCAGAAAAUACAUAGGUUCGUAAAAAUCCGUAUUUUAAACCAGAACAUUUUGCGUCUUUUAUUUUUAAUCUUUUCUGAGUGCCAACAAUUUUCUAGGUAUUAUAUAUAAUACAUAGGCUUUAGUCCCAAGGACUAUUACCAUACAUUUCACACUGGAAUGAAUGAAGUUGUACUUAAAUUUGAGGGGAAAAGAAAUAGUCAGGUCCCCAACUGAGACGGUGUUUUGCCUGGUUGAGAGUUACAUUGUACCUCUGGCACAAAACGUGUGAAAUUCUCAAAUGUGUUUGGCUAUUCAAAGGCAGUGUGUCUUCUCCCCGUUUUUCUUCUUAAAUACAAUCAGAAACAAGUUAUCUACUUCGGAAGAAUUAUUUUCAGUGAUCACACCACACUGGUUACCUAAAGGUGGCCCCAUCAUCUCCCCUAACUCCCACACGUUCUGCUUCUGUGUAUUGGAAUUCAAGUGAGUUGCAAUGGAUUGGGAUGUUGCAAUAUUCUUUCACGCUCAUGGGUUGUACUGUCCUCCACUGAUUUAGAAUGAUGUCUCUUUUGGGAAUACCCUAAACAGGAUUAUAAUAUUAUCUCAUUUCCACAUCAAUACCUGCCUAUAAAAGUGACAAAUCUUAUAAGAUUGAAUAUAACAGUCUUGCAAAAAAUGGAUGAAUGUCUCUGUUCAAUUGAGGAAAUAUGCACUGCCCUUUUGCUCAUUAGUUGAAGGACAUACCAAACUUAAAUUUUACAAGAAGGCUAGAGUUUUGUAAAAUCUUGGGUCCCACUCGUAAGACCACAUUCUAUCUGACUUGUUUCCCAAGGACACUCUAGGGAUGCUGUCUUUUCUGUGCAUGUUGUGAAUAGUAACCAUACUUUUAAAUUUGUGUUGUCAAUGAAAAUUUUACUUGAAAUUAAGGUUGUCUUUUGUUAUGUUUUUUUUUAACCUAUAGGAUAAGAUUCCAGUGUUGUAUGUGAAUGUCUAUAACAAAUAAAAAAAUCAAAUUGUGUACAUUUGGAAAUAUUUGCACAUAUUUUUUAUUAAAUGUAAAGUUGCCUUUGAAACUACUCCGAUGUGUCCUUUCUGAACAAAACUAUUACAUCUUAUAAAAAUGCUACCUUUUAAGUUUGCCAUCACUUUUAUCACCCCUCAUUUUGAUGUAUUCUUGAUGGCUCCAGUUCUGUUUAUGUGCAGUGUCUUUUAGGAAAGACUUACCAACGCAAUAAACAAUGUUAUAAAUAACCUCA
Molecule: long non-coding RNA, 2426 nt
Organism: Neofelis nebulosa (Clouded leopard)
Lineage: Eukaryota; Metazoa; Chordata; Mammalia; Carnivora; Felidae
Exons: 2
Source: RefSeq, a predicted model, not a curated record